This is a long non-coding RNA of Paramormyrops kingsleyae, 794 nucleotides long. RefSeq lists it as uncharacterized. Lineage: Eukaryota; Metazoa; Chordata; Actinopteri; Osteoglossiformes; Mormyridae. The record is from RefSeq and is a predicted model, not a curated record.
AAGUGCUCGGACCACAAAAAUGGACGAAAUGUUGAAGCUAAAGCAGCGGCUCCGACAGUUGGAACAGGAGGUGGCCGAGCUUAGGGGAAGUUCCUCUGUGCCUCGGCAAUCGGGAUCCGGGUCACACAAGUAGUUCUUCAGUGACUCCCGAGGUUUCAGGAGAGCGUCUUUCGGGUUGGCGCCUCUGGGACUAUGACAAAAUCAAAUGCAUGAAUUAAAGUGCAUUAAAAGUUUUGUGCCCUUUAUGUGGGGCGAUAAAGAGGCCCCAGCUCCUGCCCACCUCCGAUUUCUAACAGAGACUAGCAGAAUUAGUGAUUGGCUGUCUGACCUACACAAAAAAUGCAUGGUCACGACUAACAUGAGCUGUUUUGGCCGUCAUAAAAUUCUGCCAGUUUCUGUUAGUCAGAUCUUGCCUGUGUCCGACUACGCAAAAAGGAAAUCGCUUUCCUUUUCAGUCAUUUGAGGGGACAGCUCAAACCCUUAGCUAAGCGGAUAGUCGGACACAGGAAAGAGGUCAAGGAGAAGAAGUCCCAGAGGAUGCCGACCCGGGAGAACCUCUCAGAACCGGUGACUGAGCUGCUGACCCGGAUCCCUGAAUGUUUAGACGGCAGGUGGAGGAGGUUCAUAAAACAAUGGAGAUCGAGCUGUCGGGGGAAGGCCCCAGUGGCGCCACAUCUAGGUCAUGGUGGCACUGCGGAGGGAGACCUGGAGCCACAAAAGGGGAUGGUCCUGGACCAGCUGUGGGAGGAGCAGGGGCUGCAGCAGGAGGUGGGGCCAGAUGAGCUGGAGGAGGG